UACGUAGGUGGCGAGCGUUGUCCGGAUUUAUUGGGUUUAAAGGGUGCGUAGGCGGCCCUAUAAGUCAGUGGUGAAAUAUCGCAGCUUAACUGUGAGGGUGCCAUUGAUACUGUAGGGCUUGAGUGAAUUUGAGGUAGGCGGAAUUGGCGGUGUAGCGGUGAAAUGCUUAGAUAUCGUCAAGAACACCGAUAGUGAAGACAGCUUACCAAGCUUCAACUGACGCUGAGGCACGAAAGUGUGGGGAUCAAACAGG
Molecule: ribosomal RNA, 253 nt
Filed under: uncultured bacterium
Lineage: Bacteria
Description: partial 16S ribosomal RNA
Rfam family: Bacterial small subunit ribosomal RNA
Source: RNAcentral